UAUGGAAACUUACGAGUUUAAAUUUAAAGAUGAUAUUGCAACUUUUUAUUUUUAUAAGGAGCUUUUUUACUGAAUUGUUAGGGGAUACUUCUUCUCCUUUUGCCAAAAGGGAAAUGUUCUAUAAAUUUCUAAAGAUGCUCUAAGGACAAACUUAUUUAUCGAAUCUAUCAACCAUUCAGCAGUAUUUUUUCUUUCAUAACAAAUUAGCAAAUAAUAUUUUUAGUCAUUGCUUUUAGCUGUGGUUGGAUUGGUUCCUGCCACCACUUUGUAUUAUUGUGUGGUUGUGGAUCACUCUCGGAUUCGGAUACCUCCUCAAGGUGCCGGUGCAGUGCAGGUGCAGGUAACAGCUCGCUAUACCUGCAUGCGUACUGCAGUGCCUCAUCUACGAAGAUGUGCU
RNAcentral lists this long non-coding RNA (397 nucleotides) under Sorghum bicolor (sorghum). RNAcentral describes it as "long non-coding RNA (SBIC_LNC004155)". Lineage: Eukaryota; Viridiplantae; Streptophyta; Magnoliopsida; Poales; Poaceae. The record is from RNAcentral.